AUGCCCAAGCGCACCAUGGGAGGGAGGGCCGACGCUGGGGCCGACGCCAUGGUGUCACCUACACCGGAGCAGGUGGCUCCUUCGCCGGAGCAGGUGACUCAUCUGCCACGCCAUCUGCCUCCUCUGCCACGCCAUCUGCCUCCUCUGCCGCAGCCUGUGGUCAACGUCAACGACGAUGACGAAGAAGAAGAGGUAGCUGCUCUGGUUCCUCAGAAGGAGCAGGUGUCUCCUCUGCCGCGGGUGACGCCUCCUGUGCCCGAGCCUGUGGUCGUCGGCGAUGUCAACAAAGAAGACGUAGCUCCGGGUGUUCAUCUGCCGCAGUUUUUGCCUCCCCUGCCCCCACCUGUGGUCGUCGCCGACGAGAACGAAGAAGAGGUUUUCCCUGGUCACUACAAGGCAAAUAAGGUCCUAAGUGACGAUGUUGACAGCGACCCAGAAACCCAGAGGAUCUUCAGGAGGCAAAAAUCGAGGCAGCUGAACAGUGGUGAGCUCGAGAAAGAUGUGAGGCCUAGAUUCGGAAAGGGCUACGGAUGCCCUUUCUGCAACAAGGUGAUGAAAGGCGACCUGUCGAGUACCAUCAACCAUGCAAUCGGAACAUCCCAAGGCAGCACCAAGAAUGGCUACGCUUUCAGGGUGAAGCACGCUGCGUAUGCCGACUACUUGAUGAGGCUUCUUUGA
Molecule: ribosomal RNA, 678 nt
Filed under: Triticum aestivum (bread wheat)
Lineage: Eukaryota; Viridiplantae; Streptophyta; Magnoliopsida; Poales; Poaceae
Description: partial small subunit ribosomal RNA
Source: RNAcentral